Molecule: ribosomal RNA, 274 nt
Filed under: uncultured bacterium
Lineage: Bacteria
Description: partial 16S ribosomal RNA
Rfam family: Bacterial small subunit ribosomal RNA
Source: RNAcentral
AUACGGAGGGUCCAAGCGUUAUCCGGAUUCAUUGGGUUUAAAGGGUCCGCAGGCGGGAAAAUAAGUCAGUGGUGAAAGCCUACAGCUCAACUGUAAAACUGCCAUUGAUACUGUUUUUCUUGAGUAUAGAUGAAGUGGGCGGAAUAUAUCAUGUAGCGGUGAAAUGCAUAGAUAUGAUAUAGAACACCGAUUGCGAAGGCAGCUCACUAAACUAUUACUGACGCUCAGGGACGAAAGCGUGGGGAGCGAACAGGAUUAGAUACCCUAGUAGUCC